This is a long non-coding RNA of Orcinus orca (killer whale), 2843 nucleotides long. RefSeq lists it as uncharacterized. The transcript is spliced from 3 exons. The record is from RefSeq and is a predicted model, not a curated record. Lineage: Eukaryota; Metazoa; Chordata; Mammalia; Artiodactyla; Delphinidae.
UCCGUUAUUUCUUCAUUUUUCUCCAGUAUCAUCUUUAAUCAGUGGGUCAGUUCCCCAGUAGGAGGAGCAGACACAAAAUAAGAGAAAGAGAAAAGGACACGGAUCUAGCUGCUCUGCUCUCCAUUUAUGCACACACAGCAUACAUCUGCGCUCAUGGGCCCCGAGCGAUGUGGCACCGGGGGUCUGGGGACAAGCCGCUAAGGAUGGCGGCCCUGCCUCAAGGCUCUUGGGCAGCGGGAGAAUACCAGUGCCUAGAGUACAGGGAUUAAGAAACCAAGACCAAGGGCAAAGAGCCCCAGGUCUGCGAGAAAGAGGCAGCGUCGGAACCCGAGGGUACGGACGCCCACCCCAGGCUCCGACCACUCCAAGGCCACGUCCCACCCAGGCUGCAGAAACCUCAGUUCCUGACCGGAGAUGAAAACCCAAACUGACACAGCAAACUUAAAAAGCACAGUGGUGAAAAGAGUUCUCGGCAGAGGAGGAGAGAGCGCCCCGCGCCGUAAUGGCGGUAAAAGAGCCCAGCCCUCGCAGUUUGUUUGCUCUGAUGGAAAUGGCCUUCAAAGCCACACAGGACUCUUUGAAAGAAGGCAGGUGGCAGCAGGUGGCAGUGGCCAUGGGGUGUGGGGCGGAGGCGGGGCGGGAGCAGCUCCGGGGCUGAAGCUCCGAGCACGGCUCGCAGCUCUGGAUGAACCCCGCCUUGGCCUACGCCUCUGUGGCAGGUUCCUCGGCCCCCGAAGCCACAGGGCAAUUCUCAAGCCUGAAACCAGCGGUGGGUGGAAAAUAUCAAAUCUACCUCCACCCUGCCACCAAGUGUAUUAAUGAUCACAUAAGUACACCUAUAAAGUAUCUGACAUUAGGUUAAAAAAAUAAGGUGGGAGAUUCCACUCUGAACAAUUUCUCAGGAAUAAAAAGGCCACGGACUCACUCAUUUAUUCCUCAAACCUUCUGGGGCCCCUGUGUUGUGCCGGACAUAGCACUGGGGACAAAGGUGGGAGACUCUGGCCCUGCCCUCAAGGGGCUCAUAAACUGGUGAGAACUGCCAGCACACAGAGGCCACUAAUCAUCGUGGGACAUAGAGAAGGUGUGACAGACAGGAAAACUGACACUUCCAUCGUGGCUAAUUUAACAAGUUAGAAAAGAGCCAGAAACGUGCUCCAUAUGGGAUUUCAACUCCAGGCUCUUCCUGUCCACUGAGCGCGCUGAGCGCUGCUCUAUUUUGCAGGCCGUGCCCCUCACUUCCAGCCCUCGGGCUUGCUAACAGGCAGCUGUUUUAGACCCAGGAAACUCCGCUUGCCAGAGGUCCCCAGCACUGCGGAUAGAUGCUCAAACAGGGCAGCACAGAAACAGGCAGUCUGCGACCACGUAAGAAAAGACCGUACUCUUGCAGCUCUUAGAAAGGAAAAACCUUUUGUCCAAUUGCUUUAGUUGAAUAACAUUUUACUCUACUUUAAAAAAAAAACUAUAGACAGACCCAUUUAUUUCCAGAAAGAUAUCGGAGGUCGCUCCAUCUACUUCUCUGUGUUGGCCAUAUAUUAUUUUAGUUUACUUCCAGCAAGCACACGUAAGAUUUCAUAAAUACAUUUACCUUUAUAGCCAAAUACAGUCUACACACUUCUCGAAGACAGGCAUUAAUUUUAAACAUUUGUUGAAAGGCCACCUCACCCUGGAUGGAAGCACCACUACCGCUGUUACUAUUCCUCCUCCCUCCUCCUGCCACCACUACUAAAAAGGAGGAGCUGGUGUAGACCGGCCUCCCCGCCAUGCCUGGACCUGUGCUGGGUCCCUCACAAUUGUUAUCUCACUAACUUCCCACAGCAACCCCGGAGGCGGGGACUGCCACCCCACUUUACAGACAAGAGGUCAGAGAGGUUAGGCAGUGAAGCCACACCACUUGCAGAUGGUGGAGUCUGAACGCCAAAAUGUGCCCGCUCUUCCCAAGUGUGGACUUGUAACUGCUACAGUGCCCUGAGCCUUGGGUGCCUGAGAGAUCUUCUGAGAAGGGACACGAGCCAGAGACAAAGGGGACAGACUGACAUAUCCUGAACAUACACCAUAAGCUCGACUUCCUGCUAUGUCAAAUGUCUGUAUCAGGGCAAACUUAUUUAAACAACAGGUUCCCAGGUCCGCCCCCCCCAAAUUAUGGUGGAGGUCUGAGCCAGGAUUCUCAUUCAUAACGUGUACCCCCAAGUAAUUCUGAUUCAGGAUGUCAUAACUUACAUCAUUGGGGUCAGUGACUUACAAAGUUAUUUAAUGGGACCUACACAGGAGGUCACCCAUUUGAAAUCACCACCCAGAACAUACUUGCACACACAGUGGCAUAUAAACACACUGAAACACAAGACAAAAGGUCUCAGAAAACUACCUAUUACCUUGUCAUGGAUAAAUAGUGCUGAUCAUUUCUAUUUCAUUCUAUUCCAUUUCAUUUUUAAGAUAAAUUGGUUGUAAUCCACUAAUUUCACAAACCUAUAAUGGAUCAUGACCUGGGGGCUGAAAAAACACUGACCUGGCUGUUCUAUACUUAAUUUCUAGUUUAAUCCUCACAAUCCUGAGAGGUCGGAGAGAGUUCCAUAUCUCCAUUUUACAGAUGAGAAAACUGAGGCUUAGGGAAGCUAAGCAAUUUGCCCAGGAUCACAAAGGUGGAUAUGGGGUCUUAACUCUUAACAUGCUAGAACCCAAAGCCUGCCUUUUAUUGUACAGAAACCAUAUUUUCUCAAGUCUCCCUUUCACAAAGUUUGCACAGUGCUGUAAAUAAAAUGGGUUUGCUCCGGUCAUUGACUAACUCCUUUGACCAGGUCCCCACGUUUCCUUGAUGCCAACACAUCCUUGACUCCAAGUCACGCCAU